UGUAUACCUGCUUACAUGCCUCUCCU
Molecule: non-coding RNA, 26 nt
Filed under: Mus musculus (house mouse)
Lineage: Eukaryota; Metazoa; Chordata; Mammalia; Rodentia; Muridae
Source: RNAcentral